CGUGUAGGCGGCUUUGCAAGUCGGGUGUGAAAGCCCUCGGCUCAACCGAGGAAGUGCGCCCGAAACUGCAGAGCUUGAGUGCCGGAGAGGGUGGCGGAAUUCCCCAAGUAGAGGUGAAAUUCGUAGAUAUGGGGAGGAACACCGGUGGCGAAGGCGGCCACCUGGACGGUAACUGACGCUGAGACGCGAAAGCGUGGGGAGCAAACA
This 207-nucleotide ribosomal RNA is filed under the name uncultured delta proteobacterium. Its description in RNAcentral is "partial 16S ribosomal RNA". It matches the Rfam family "Bacterial small subunit ribosomal RNA", at positions 568 to 774 of the family's 1533-position model. The record is from RNAcentral. Lineage: Bacteria; Deltaproteobacteria.